Molecule: ribosomal RNA, 467 nt
Filed under: uncultured bacterium
Lineage: Bacteria
Description: partial 16S ribosomal RNA
Rfam family: Bacterial small subunit ribosomal RNA
Source: RNAcentral
GACGAACGCUGGCGGCGUGCUUAACACAUGCAAGUCGAACGGAAAGGCCCUGCUUUUGUGGGGUGCUCGAGUGGCGAACGGGUGAGUAACACGUGAGUAACCUGCCCUUGACUUUGGGAUAACUUCAGGAAACUGGGGCUAAUACCGGAUAGGAGCUCCUGAUGCAUGGUGGGGGUUGGAAAGUUUCGGCGGUUGGGAUGGACUCGCGGCUUAUCAGCUUGUUGGUGGGGUAGUGGCUUACCAAGGCUUUGACGGGUAGCCGGCCUGAGAGGGUGACCGGCCACAUUGGGACUGAGAUACGGCCCAGACUCCUACGGGAGGCAGCAGUGGGGAAUAUUGCACAAUGGGCGGAAGCCUGAUGCAGCAACGCCGCGUGCGGGAUGACGGCCUUCGGGUUGUAAACCGCUUUCGCCUGUGACGAAGCGUGAGUGACGGUAAUGGGUAAAGAAGCACCGGCUAACUACGUG